RNAcentral lists this ribosomal RNA (129 nucleotides) under Prolemur simus (greater bamboo lemur). Lineage: Eukaryota; Metazoa; Chordata; Mammalia; Primates; Lemuridae. The record is from RNAcentral.
GUCUGAGGCCACACCGCCCUGAAGGUGCCCGAUCUCGUCUGAUCUGGGAAGCUAAAGCAGGGUCGGGCCAGUCAGGACCUGGAUGGGAGAAAAGUUGUAAGAAUCCCUUAAGGCUGGCAGGACCUGACU